UGAGGAAUAUUGGUCAAUGGGCGAGAGCCUGAACCAGCCAAAUCGCGUGAAGGAAGACUGCCUUAUGGGUUGUAAACUUCUUUUAUACAGGAAUAAAAAAGGGGACGUGUCCCUUAUUGCAUGUACUGUAUGAAUAAGCAUCGGCUAACUCCGUGCCAGCAGCCGCGGUAAUACGGAGGAUGCGAGCGUUAUCCGGAUUUAUUGGGUUUAAAGGGUGCGCAGGCGGGCUUUUAAGUCAGCGGUGAAAUCUCGGGGCUUAACUCCGAAACUGCCGUUGAAACUGGGAGUCUUGAGUAUGGAUGAAGUAGGCGGAAUUCGUUGUGUAGCGGUGACAUGCUUAGAUAUAACGAGGAACUCCGAUUGCGUAGGCAGCUUACUAAGCCAUAACUGACGCUCAAGCACGAAAGCGUGGGGAUCAAAACAGAUUAGAUACCCCUGGUAGUCCACGCCGUAAAACGAUGAUUACUAGUUGUAUGCGAUAUACCGUAUGUGACUAAGCGAAAGCGAUAAGUAAUCCACCUGGGGAGUACGCCGGCAACGGUGAAACUCAAAGGAAUUGACGGGGUCAUAGCUGUUUCCUG
Molecule: ribosomal RNA, 581 nt
Filed under: uncultured bacterium
Lineage: Bacteria
Description: partial 16S ribosomal RNA
Rfam family: Bacterial small subunit ribosomal RNA
Source: RNAcentral